This 455-nucleotide ribosomal RNA is filed under the name uncultured ammonia-oxidizing bacterium. RNAcentral's name for it is "bacterial SSU rRNA". It matches the Rfam family "Bacterial small subunit ribosomal RNA", at positions 192 to 629 of the family's 1533-position model. The record is from RNAcentral.
GCCCUUGGAGGAAAGCAGGGAUCGAAAGACCUUGCGCUUAAGGAGCGGCGAUGUCUGAUUAGCUAGUUGGUGGGGUAAAGGCCUACCAAGGCGACGAUCAGUAGUUGGUCUGAGAGGACGACCAACCACACUGGGACUGAGACACGGCCCAGACUCCUACGGGAGGCAGCAGUGGGGAAUUUUGGACAAUGGGCGCAAGCCUGAUCCAGCCAUGCCGCGUGAGUGAAGAAGGCCUUCGGGUUGUAAAGCUCUUUCAGUUGGGAAGAAACGAUUACAACUAAUAAUUGUAAUUAAUGACGGUACCGACAGAAGAAGCACCGGCUAACUACGUGCCAGCAGCCGCGGUAAUACGUAGGGUGCGAGCGUUAAUCGGAAUUACUGGGCGUAAAGGGUGCGCAGGCGGUUUUGUAAGUCAGAUGUGAAAUCCCCGGGCUUAAACUUGGGAAUGGCGUUUG